This 209-nucleotide ribosomal RNA is filed under the name uncultured bacterium. RNAcentral's name for it is "partial 16S ribosomal RNA". It matches the Rfam family "Bacterial small subunit ribosomal RNA", at positions 524 to 728 of the family's 1533-position model. The record is from RNAcentral.
UACGUAGGGCGCAAGCGUUGUCCGGAAUUAUUGGGCGUAAAGAGCUCGUAGGCGGUUUGUCGCGUCUGCUGUGAAAUCCCGAGGCUCAACCUCGGGCUUGCAGUGGGUACGGGCAGACUAGAGUGCGGUAGGGGAGACUGGAAUUCCUGGUGUAGCGGUGGAAUGCGCAGAUAGUCAGGAGGAACACCCGGUGGGCGAAGGCGGGGUCU